UCUGGAUCAGUACUGACACUGAGGAACGAAAGCAUGGGUAGCGAAGAGGAUUAGAUACCCUCGUAGUCCAUGCCGUAAACGAUGUGUGUUAGAUGUUGGAAAUUUAUUUUCAGUAUCGCAGCGAAAGCAAUAAACACACCGCCUGGGGAGUACGACCGCAAGGUUAAAACUCAAAUGAAUUGACGGGGACCCGCACAAGUAGUGGAGCAUGUGGUUUAAUUCGAAGAUACGCGCAGAACCUUACCAACACUUGACAUGUUCGUCGCGACUCUAAGAGAUUAGAGUUUUCGGUUCGGCCGGACGAAACACAGGUGCUGCAUGGCUGUCGUCAGCUCGUGUCGUGAGAUGUUGGGUUAAGUCCCGCAACGAGCGCAACCCUUACUUUUAGUUGCUACCAUUCAGUUGGGCACUCUGAAAGAACUGCCAGUGAUAAGCUGGAGGAAGGUGGGGAUGACGUCAAGUCCUCAUGGCCCUUACGUGUUGGGCUACACACGUGCUACAAUGGCAUUUACAAUAGGAAGCAAGACGGCGACGUCAAGCAAAUCCUAAAAAAAUGCCUCAGUUCGGAUUGUACUCUGCAACUCGAGUACAUGAAGCUGGAAUUACUAGUAAUCGCGGAUCAGCGCGCCGCGGUGAAUACGUUCCCGGGUCUUGUACACACCGCCCGUCACACCAUGGGAGUUGGUUCUACCUUAAGGCAAAGUUUAAAACCUUUGACCACGGUAUAGUCAGCGACUGGGGUGAAGUCGUAACAAGGUAA
RNAcentral lists this ribosomal RNA (760 nucleotides) under uncultured marine microorganism. RNAcentral describes it as "bacterial SSU rRNA". It matches the Rfam family "Bacterial small subunit ribosomal RNA", at positions 728 to 1499 of the family's 1533-position model. The record is from RNAcentral.